AAACACUGCAUAUACAAUAAUUAUUGUCCUUAAUUACAAAUAAAUAACCCACUAUGUGUUGUGUUUUGGUCAAGAUUAACUUCCGUUUUGAAUUUAGUUAUAACUGUGAAUAUGAUUAAUUUCGCCGGUGUCAAAGGCCUUGAGAAUUUUUCUGAUGGUACAUGGUUUGUGGUAUGGUGUUACCCUGACCUUAAUUGGUUCUUCUCCUCCCGCAAAAAUCCUUUCUAGGAUGAGGCAUGGCGGUGGUUCAGAUUUCUUGUCCUCCAUCUUUAUGAUGGUGGUUGAAGGGAAUUUAUGUGGUUUCGUCGGGUUGACAGGGAUUUGUUCUUAGAGGAAGUAUAUUUAAAAAAUAUGAGAGAUCUUGAAAGAAAAAAAGAUAUAUGAAGUUUUCAAUCCUUAUAAUUGUGGUGAUGGUAUUUUGUAGGGUUUUUUCAGUGAAAUUGGGAUUUGUUCUUGGAAGAGAGAUAGUUGAAAGGUUUCAUAGAUGAAAGAGAAAGAGUGCUAUAAUAAUUUCACAUUUCAAAAUCUUGAAGAAGAUUAGGAGAAAAACUAUUUAUUUUCUGAC
This 565-nucleotide long non-coding RNA is filed under the name Brassica napus (rape). RNAcentral describes it as "long non-coding RNA (BNAP_LNC018070)". Lineage: Eukaryota; Viridiplantae; Streptophyta; Magnoliopsida; Brassicales; Brassicaceae. The record is from RNAcentral.